This 448-nucleotide ribosomal RNA is filed under the name uncultured bacterium. Its description in RNAcentral is "bacterial SSU rRNA". It matches the Rfam family "Bacterial small subunit ribosomal RNA", at positions 331 to 793 of the family's 1533-position model. The record is from RNAcentral.
CCAGACUCCUACGGGAGGCAGCAGUGGGGAAUAUUGGACAAUGGGGGAAACCCUGAUCCAGCGACGCCGCGUGAGUGAAGAAGUAUUUCGGUAUGUAAAGCUCUAUCAGCAGGGAAGAAAGAAAUGACGGUACCUGACUAAGAAGCCCCGACUAACUACGUGCCAGCAGCCGCGGUAAUACGUAGGGGGCAAGCGUUAUCCGGAUUUACUGGGUGUAAAGGGAGCGUAGACGGCGAUGCAAGUCUGGAGUGAAAGCCCGGGGCCCAACCCCGGGACUGCUCUGGAAACUGCGUCGCUGGAGUACGGGAGGGGCAGGCGGAAUUCCUGGUGUAGCGGUGAAAUGCGUAGAUAUUAGGAGGAACACCAGUGGCGAAGGCGGCUUACUGGACUGUAACUGACGUUGAGGCUCGAAAGCGUGGGGAGCAAACAGGAUUAGAUACCCUGGUAC